UUUAACAAUCUUAAGAAUUUGAACGUAAAGAGAGAUGAGAUUCAAAGUGACUUUCUUCUCUUUUUGGUUUACAUAUAUAUAUCUAAAUAGUUAAAGGUAAUAUCUGAAUAUAAAUGUCUUUUAAAACAUUAAGUGGCACAUGCUUCUCAUGUGCAAAGUAAGUUUUUCUAAUUUUUUGCCAGUAAAGGAAAGUUUUUUGGGGUCCCAGCGCGACAUGUA
This 219-nucleotide long non-coding RNA is filed under the name Ricinus communis (castor bean). Its description in RNAcentral is "long non-coding RNA (RCOM_LNC003033)". Lineage: Eukaryota; Viridiplantae; Streptophyta; Magnoliopsida; Malpighiales; Euphorbiaceae. The record is from RNAcentral.